This 373-nucleotide long non-coding RNA is filed under the name Mus musculus (house mouse). RNAcentral's name for it is "predicted gene, 32531". The record is from RNAcentral. Lineage: Eukaryota; Metazoa; Chordata; Mammalia; Rodentia; Muridae.
UGAAUGCUGGAGCCAUAUUUACUGCCUGUGGAUUUGCGGUGGAGCGGCUUGACCAGAACUCACGGAAAUACAGGGAGAAAUGGAAUUGACUUUAAAUAAGUUCAUUCAAGAUGAGAACAGAGCUGGCAGAAUUCAAGCAGAGAAUAUAGCUUCAUUCUUCAACCAGAAAAAUAGAGGUUGUUAAGACAUUCUCCAGGACAACACACUCUAAAUUUCUUACUAAGCACUUCCAACAGAACAAACUUUCUUAAACUCUCUGAGAACGAACUAUCUGCAAGAGAUGCUCUCAGCAUGCCGCCACUCAUAUGUCUUUGCUGAAAGACCACACCCAUGUCUUAGUUUCCCAUGGCGUACAUCCACAAAAUUCUCAAGA